Tachysurus fulvidraco (yellow catfish) is the source of this 553-nucleotide long non-coding RNA. RefSeq lists it as uncharacterized. NCBI's taxonomy places the organism in Eukaryota, Metazoa, Chordata, Actinopteri, Siluriformes, Bagridae. The record is from RefSeq and is a predicted model, not a curated record. The transcript has 4 exons.
CGUGAGGUCACUGAGGUGUGUGAGGUCAUUGUGAGUUGUGUGAGGUCAUCGUGAGCUCCUCGUGAGGACACAGAGCUGUGUGAGGUCAUCGUGAGGACACGGAGCUGUGUGAGGUCAUCGUGAGGACACGGAGCUGUGUGAGGUCAUCGUGAGGACACGGAGCUGUGUGAGGUCAUCGUGAGGACACGGAGUUGUGGGAGGUCAUCGUGAGGACACGGAGUUGUGUGAGGUCAUAUACAGACUGUUUAUGACUCAGUGCCAAUUGUGAUGACUGAUGACUAUACAGUCACAUCAAUCAGCUGCAUGAAGACGGCAGAGAACUGCUAUACAGGACCGAGAUGGUAUUAUUAACAAUAAACAACAUUAAAGUCUCGUCUUGGGAGCCUGUGCCUAUCUCAGGCGUCAUCAGAGAUGCCAAAUCAGAGAUGCCAAUUUUCCAGAGAUGCCAAUCAACCUACCAUGCAUGUCUUUGGACCUGGGGAGGAAACCGGAGCACUCGGAGGAAACCCACGAGGCACGGGGAGAACAUGCAAACUCCACACACACAAGGCAG